AGCGGCGAACGGGUGAGUAACACGUAGGUGAUCUGCCCAUCAGACGGGGACAACGAUUGGAAACGAUCGCUAAUACCGGAUAGGACGAAAGUUUAAAGGUGCUUCUGGCACCGCUGAUGGAUGAGCCUGCGGCGCAUUAGCUAGUUGGUAGGGUAAAGGCCUACCAAGGCGACGAUGCGUAGCCGACCUGAGAGGGUGAACGGCCACACUGGGACUGAGACACGGCCCAGACUCCUACGGGAGGCAGCAGUAGGGAAUCUUCGGCAAUGGGCGAAAGCCUGACCGAGCAACGCCGCGUGAAUGAUGAGGGCCUUCGGGUUGUAAAAUUCUGUUAUAAGGGAAGAACGACUUUAGUAGGAAAUGGCUAGAGUGUGACGGUACCUUAUGAGAAAGCCACGGCUAACUACGUGCCAGCAGCCGCGGUAAUACGUAGGUGGCGAGCGUUAUCCGGAAUUAUUGGGCGUAUAGAGCGCGCAGGUGGUUGAUUAAGUCUGAUGUGAAAGCCCACGGCUUAACCGUGGAGGGUCAUUGGAAACUGGUCGACUUGAGUGCAGAAGAGGGAAGUGGAAUUCCAUGUGUAGCGGUGAAAUGCGUAGAGAUAUGGAGGAACACCAGUGGCGAAGGCGGCUUCCUGGUCUGUAACUGACACUGAGGCGCGAAAGCGUGGGGAGCAAACAGGAUUAGAUACCCUGGUAGUCCACGCCGUAAACGAUGAGUGCUAAGUGU
This 726-nucleotide ribosomal RNA is filed under the name uncultured bacterium. Its description in RNAcentral is "bacterial SSU rRNA". It matches the Rfam family "Bacterial small subunit ribosomal RNA", at positions 94 to 823 of the family's 1533-position model. The record is from RNAcentral.